GAACUGGCCCGGCAGGAUGCCGUGUGCUGUUCUCGCGUCGCAUUCCGCUCCGUCGUGGGGGUCGGCGUGUCGCCCUCUCGGGGGUCCGCCGCGUCGGCCACUCUAAACCCGCACGGGGCCGUUUACUUUGAGAAAAUGAGAGUGCUCCAAGCAGCCGAAUCACAUUCGGGCGUUGAAUCAUGCAGCAUGGGAUAAUGGAACAGGAUCUUGCUCCGCGUUUCGUUGGUUUUUGGGUGCGAGAUAAUGAUUAACAGACACGGGCGGGGGUACUGGUAUUCACAUGUCAGAGGUGAAAUUCUUGGAUUUUGUGAGGACCAACCUAUGCGAAAGCGUCUACCUAGGACGUCUUCAUUAAUCAAGAACGAAAGUUAGGGGAUCGAAGAUGAUCAGAUACCGUCGUAGUCCUAACCAUAAACGAUGCCGGCUAGGAAUUCGGAGACGUUACAAACUUUUACGACUCCCCGAGCGCCUUUUGAGAAAUCAAAGCUUUUGGGUUCAGGGGGGAGUAUGGUCGCAAGGCUGAAACUUAAAAGAAUUGACGGAAGGGCACCACCAGGCGUGGAGCUUGCGGCUUAAUUUGACCCAACACGGGAAAACUUACCAGGUCCAGACAUAAGAAGGAUUGACAGAUUGAGAGCUCUUUCAUGAUUUUAUGGGUGGUGGUGCAUGGCCGAUCUUAGUUGGUGGAGUGAUUUGUCUGGUUGAUUCCGUUAACGAACGAGACCUCCGCAUGCUAACUAGUUACGCCGACCUUCUCUCGUGGGUGAAGCGGUGUCGGCGCGGCGCUGCCCUAACGGGCUCGUCCGCCCGCCGUGAAUCCCCUGAUGUGUCGGCGGCUACACUUCUUAGAUGGACUCCUCGUGUCGAGCGAGGGGAAGUUGGAGGCAAUAUCAGGUCUGUAAUGCCCUUAGAUGUCCUGGGCGGCACGCGCGCUACACUGGGGGGCGCAGCGAGUAACCACCUUGGCCGAGAGGUCUGGGUAAUCUGCUAAUGCCCUCCGUGUUUGGGAUUGUCCCUUGCAAGUGGGACAUGAACGAGGAAUGCCUAGUAAGCGCGCGUCAUCAGCGCGCGUUGAUUACGUCCCUGCCCUUUGUACACACCGCCCGUCGCUCCUACCGAUUGGAAGGUCCGGUGAGAUCUCGGGAUCGACCGCGCACUCGCGCUGGGCAACCAGCGCGGCGCGGUCGAGAACCUGCUCAAACCUUAUCUUCUAGAGGAAGGAGAAGU
RNAcentral lists this ribosomal RNA (1227 nucleotides) under metagenome. RNAcentral describes it as "SSU rRNA". It matches the Rfam family "Eukaryotic small subunit ribosomal RNA", at positions 704 to 1789 of the family's 1831-position model. The record is from RNAcentral.